Molecule: ribosomal RNA, 201 nt
Filed under: Triticum aestivum (bread wheat)
Lineage: Eukaryota; Viridiplantae; Streptophyta; Magnoliopsida; Poales; Poaceae
Description: partial small subunit ribosomal RNA
Rfam family: MIR396 microRNA precursor family (bases 15-119)
Source: RNAcentral
AUGUGUGUGGCCCUCUUUGCUGUCUUCCACAGCUUUCUUGAACUGCAUCUGCAAUUGGUGGAUGCUAGCUUCUGCUCGCAAGAUCUGCAGUUCAAUAAAGCUGUGGGAAAUUGCAGAGAGAGACCAAUUGGACAGCUUCAUUGGCGGAUCAUUCACCAGCUUCUUCAGGUUUGUAGAUGCACGGUGGUUCUUUUAAGAUAA